GAUGAACGCUGGCGGCGUGCCUAAUACAUGCAAGUCGAACGCAUUGUGGUUGAAAUGAUAUGAAGAACUUGUUCAGAUUUGAUUUUCAACAUUGCAAUGAGUGGCGAACGGGUGAGUAACACGUGGGAAACCUACCUCUUAGCAGGGGAUAACAUUUGGAAACAAAUGCUAAUACCGUAUAAUAAUUAAAACCGCAUGGUUUUAGUUUAAAAGAUGGUCUUGCUAUCACUAAGAGAUGGUCCCGCGGUGUAUUAGUUAGUUGGUGAGGUAAUGGCUCACCAAGACAAAUGAUACAUAGCCGAGUUGAGAGACUGACCGGCCACAAUGGGAC
This 331-nucleotide ribosomal RNA is filed under the name uncultured bacterium. RNAcentral's name for it is "bacterial SSU rRNA". It matches the Rfam family "Bacterial small subunit ribosomal RNA", at positions 28 to 319 of the family's 1533-position model. The record is from RNAcentral.